RNAcentral lists this unclassified non-coding RNA (347 nucleotides) under soil metagenome. RNAcentral's name for it is "partial contains 5.8S ribosomal RNA, internal transcribed spacer 2, and large subunit ribosomal RNA". The stretch from base 1 to 120 matches the Rfam family "5.8S ribosomal RNA", at positions 35 to 154 of the family's 154-position model. The record is from RNAcentral.
GAUGAAGAACGUAGCGAAAUGCGAUAAGUAAUGUGAAUUGCAGAAUUCAGUGAAUCAUCGAGUCUUUGAACGCACAUUGCGCCCCCUGGUAUUCCGGGGGGCAUGCCUGUCCGAGCGUCAUUGCCGCCCUCAAGCACGGCUUGUGUGUUGGGCCCCCGCCCCCCGGCUUCGGGGGGCGGGCCCGAAAGGCAGCGGCGGCACCGCGUCCGGUCCUCGAGCGUAUGGGGCUUCGUCACCCGCUCUGUAGGCCCGGCCGGCGCCCGCCGGCGACCCCAAUCAAUCUUUCCAGGUUGACCUCGGAUCAGGUAGGGAUACCCGCUGAACUUAAGCAUAUCAUAAGCGGAGGA